UACGUAGGGGGCAAGCGUUGUCCGGAAUCAUUGGGCGUAAAGCGCGUGUAGGCGGCUCGAUAAGUCCGCUGGGAAAGUCCAGGGCUCAACCCUGGAAUGCCGGUGGAUACUGUCGGGCUAGAGUCCGGAAGAGGCGAGUGGAAUUCCUGGUGUAGCGGUGGAAUGCGCAGAUAUCAGGAGGAACACCGAUGGCGAAGGCAGCUCGCUGGGACGGUACUGACGCUGAGGCGCGAAAGCGUGGGGAGCGAACAGG
This 253-nucleotide ribosomal RNA is filed under the name uncultured bacterium. RNAcentral's name for it is "partial 16S ribosomal RNA". It matches the Rfam family "Bacterial small subunit ribosomal RNA", at positions 524 to 776 of the family's 1533-position model. The record is from RNAcentral.